AGAGUUUGAUCUGGCUCAGGACGAACGCUGGCGGCGUGCCUAAUACAUGCAAGUCGAGCGAGCGGAACCAACAGAUUUACUUCGGUAAUGACGUUGGGAAAGCGAGCGGCGGAUGGGUGAGUAACACGUGGGGAACCUGCCCCUAAGUCUGGGAUACCAUUUGGAAACAGGUGCUAAUACCGGAUAAUAAAGCAGAUCGCAUGAUCAGCUUUUGAAAGGCGGCGUAAGCUGUCGCUAAGGGAUGGCCCCGCGGUGCAUUAGCUAGUUGGUAAGGUAACGGCUUACCAAGGCGACGAUGCAUAGCCGAGUUGAGAGACUGAUCGGCCACAUUGGGACUGAGACACGGCCCAAACUCCUACGGGAGGCAGCAGUAGGGAAUCUUCCACAAUGGACGCAAGUCUGAUGGAGCAACGCCGCGUGAGUGAAGAAGGUUUUCGGAUCGUAAAGCUCUGUUGUUGGUGAAGAAGGAUAGAGGUAGUAACUGGCCUUUAUUUGACGGUAAUCAACCAGAAAGUCACGGCUAACUACGUGCCAGCAGCCGCGGUAAUACGUAGGUGGCAAGCGUUGUCCGGAUUUAUUGGGCGUAAAGCGAGCGCAGGCGGAAAAAUAAGUCUAAUGUGAAAGCCCUCGGCUUAACCGAGGAACUGCAUCGGAAACUGUUUUUCUUGAGUGCAGAAGAGGAGAGUGGAACUCCAUGUGUAGCGGUGGAAUGCGUAGAUAUAUGGAAGAACACCAGUGGCGAAGGCGGCUCUCUGGUCUGCAACUGACGCUGAGGCUCGAAAGCAUGGGUAGCGAACAGGAUUAGAUACCCUGGUAGUCCAUGCCGUAAACGA
This 833-nucleotide ribosomal RNA is filed under the name uncultured bacterium. Its description in RNAcentral is "bacterial SSU rRNA". It matches the Rfam family "Bacterial small subunit ribosomal RNA", at positions 8 to 809 of the family's 1533-position model. The record is from RNAcentral.